AGUUUAAGUAGUGUAUGUGCACGAUUGAUUUUCAGUCUUUUAGAAGGAUGCUUUUCCUCUUAAAUU
RNAcentral lists this transfer RNA (66 nucleotides) under Perumytilus purpuratus. Its description in RNAcentral is "tRNA-Glu". Lineage: Eukaryota; Metazoa; Mollusca; Bivalvia; Mytilida; Mytilidae. The record is from RNAcentral.